UACGGGGAGUGCAAGCGUUGUUCGGAAUCAUUGGGCGUAAAGCGCGUGUAGGCGGCUUGGUAAGUUCGGUGUGAAAGCCCUCGGCUCAACCGAGGAAGUGCAUCGGAUACUGCCAGGCUUGAGUGCGGGAGGGGAGAGCGGAAUUCCCAGUGUAGAGGUGAAAUUCGUAGAUAUUGGGAGGAACACCAGUAGCGAAGGCGGCUCUCUGGACCGACACUGACGCUGAGACGCGAAAGCGUGGGUAGCAAAC
This 250-nucleotide ribosomal RNA is filed under the name uncultured bacterium. RNAcentral's name for it is "partial 16S ribosomal RNA". It matches the Rfam family "Bacterial small subunit ribosomal RNA", at positions 524 to 773 of the family's 1533-position model. The record is from RNAcentral.